UGGUGACUAUAGCCUGAAGGAUCCACCUGUUCUCAUUCCGAACACAGAAGUUAAGCUUCAGCGCGCCGAAAGUACUUGUAGGGUGACUUACCGGGAGGAUAGGUCGUUGCC
Molecule: ribosomal RNA, 111 nt
Filed under: human gut metagenome
Source: RNAcentral